CUCUCUCUCUCUCUCUUCGCUAAGCCAUCUGUAGAAGAAGACGAAGAACAUUCCUUUCUGCUCUCUCUCUCUCCGCUAAGCCGUCUGUAGACAACGACGAAGACGUGGAGUCAUCUCGUAUUGCAGCUCAAUCUCGUUGUGAGUCUUUUAUAUUCCGCUUUUUCCUUAUAUUCUUUUGUCUUUCUGAUUUUCAUGUUUGUGAUUUCGAGUUUGGAUGAUGGGGUUAAAUUAUGUUAGGGCUUUGUUUGGAUUCUCUGGAAAUUCGAUUUCUGUUAGAUCCGUGAGGAAAGAAUGCUAGAGUUGGCGAUGAAAUUAAAUUUUGUAGAUUCAAUUCUGCAGGCCGCAUCCUUUUCCUGAAAUCAAAUUUUGGUUAAGCUUCGAUUCAGCAUCUCCAUCUAUCAUCGACUAUCUAAUCACCAUCUUCGCAGACCCAACAAUUCAGCCACAGGCUCAAAUCUCUGGGUCCAUUUUAAGAUGGCUCUUCGGGCACCAUUAGAUGGUGGCCCAUGCAUGCUACGAAGUAGCUUUGGAGAUUGGGAAGUUGCAGCUAUGUGCUUCCGCAAUGAUUCACAUCGUUUGGUAUACAAACCUUCGAGGAGUUUUGUUUGUAAGUAUGCUGAAACAUUAGCCAUUGAUGGACGGCAGUGGGAUUCAGCAGUGGAAGUAGUUCCAUGGCCUAACAAAAUGAUUUAUGCCUCAUUUCUAUAUCUUUUCCAAAUCAAUGAUGAAACUUGCUGGUUUGUUAAAAAUAUUGAAACCAAUAUUAAUGCUGAGUUUGUGAUAAGAUUUGCUUAUUAAGUUCGUUGUCAUUGUACAGGGUCAUGUGAAUGCUCAUUUGAUAUUCAACUUUAUACCACGAUCAACCUUUAAAGUUCAGGGACACAUUAGGUUUUGUUCAUUUAGGUAUUUUGACUCAUCUCAUGCUCAGUAUUUUGUAAUUUUAGGUAUUCGUUAUGUUGAUGAUUGCUUUGUUGUCUGCAAUCAAUUUUGUCAGUUCUUCGCACUUUGCAAUUAUUUUCCUAAAAUAUUGGCCAGUGAUAUUCCAUUGAGCAAUAUAUAUCUAAAUAAAUGCUUUUUGUUGUGUUGUUUGUUUAGUACUAUGAAUACCCAAAAAUUGUCUGUUUCUUAUGUCCAUUCUUCGGCUGCUUGAUGGUACAUUGACAAUGGGAAUUUCACUGGCAUAUUGCUAAAAUUGGUAUCUUGUUUUCAUUCCCCC
Rhododendron vialii is the source of this 1216-nucleotide RNA transcript. RefSeq lists it as uncharacterized. Lineage: Eukaryota; Viridiplantae; Streptophyta; Magnoliopsida; Ericales; Ericaceae. The transcript is spliced from 5 exons. The record is from RefSeq and is a predicted model, not a curated record.